CCUACGGGAGGCAGCAGUAGGGAAUAUUGCUCAAUGGGGGAAACCCUGAAGCAGCAACGCCGCGUGGAGGAUGAAGGUUUUCGGAUUGUAAACUCCUUUUGUUAGAGAAGAUAAUGACGGUAUCUAACGAAUAAGCACCGGCUAACUCCGUGCCAGCAGCCGCGGUAAUACGGAGGGUGCAAGCGUUACUCGGAAUCACUGGGCGUAAAGCGCGCGUAGGCGGGAUAGCAAGUCAGAUGUGAAAUCCUAUGGCUUAACCAGAGAACUGCAUUUGAAACUGUUAGUCUAGAGUAUGGGAGAGGUAGGUGGAAUUCUUGGUGUAGGGGUAAAAUCCGUAGAGAUCAAGAGGAAUACUCAUUGCGAAGGCGACCUGCUAGAACGUAACUGACGCUGAUGCGCGAAAGCGUGGGGAGCAAACAGGAUUAGAUACCCCAGUAGUC
RNAcentral lists this ribosomal RNA (440 nucleotides) under uncultured bacterium. RNAcentral describes it as "partial 16S ribosomal RNA". It matches the Rfam family "Bacterial small subunit ribosomal RNA", at positions 338 to 795 of the family's 1533-position model. The record is from RNAcentral.